This 492-nucleotide ribosomal RNA is filed under the name uncultured bacterium. RNAcentral describes it as "partial 16S ribosomal RNA". It matches the Rfam family "Bacterial small subunit ribosomal RNA", at positions 29 to 507 of the family's 1533-position model. The record is from RNAcentral.
AGUGAACGCUGGCGGUAGGCCUAACACAUGCAAGUCGAACGGCAGCACAGUAAGAGCUUGCUCUUACGGGUGGCGAGUGGCGGACGGGUGAGGAAUACAUCGGAAUCUACUUUUUCGUGGGGGAUAACGUAGGGAAACUUACGCUAAUACCGCAUACGACCUACGGGUGAAAGCAGGGGAUCUUCGGACCUUGCGCGAUUGAAUGAGCCGAUGUCGGAUUAGCUAGUUGGCGGGGUAAAGGCCCACCAAGGCGACGAUCCGUAGCUGGUCUGAGAGGAUGAUCAGCCACACUGGAGCUGAGACACGGUCCAGACUCCUACGGGAGGCAGCAGUGGGGAAUAUUGGACAAUGGGCGCAAGCCUGAUCCAGCCAUACCGCGUGUGUGAAGAAGGCCUUCGGGUUGUAAAGCCCUUUUGUUGGGAAAGAAAAGCAGCAGGUUAAGACCCCGCUGUUCUGACGGUACCCAAAGAAUAAGCACCGGCUAACUUCGUG